AUGGUCGCUCCGCCGCCAUCCCCGGACGAGCCGCCGCACUUCUUGAAGAGCACAGACGUGUUCGUGUACGCAUCAUGUACUGCGUGCCGUCCCUCUGCUCCGGACGAACUAGUCGUUCCCGUGGCACACGAAGCAGGAGCGCAGCUGCACGGUGCCACCGGUGAACUUGGAGCAGAGGAGGGAGAGCCUGGCCAUGGCGGAGCGCAUGCAGCCGGUGCAGACAGCGGCCGGGAGGUCCGAGCAGCACUGGUAGAGGCCGGCCGCGGAGGUGUCACGAACGCACAUCCAAUGUUUGAUAAAAUGUCUAAGAAAAUAGAGACGGAUGUUUACAGGUAG
RNAcentral lists this ribosomal RNA (336 nucleotides) under Triticum aestivum (bread wheat). Its description in RNAcentral is "partial small subunit ribosomal RNA". The record is from RNAcentral. Lineage: Eukaryota; Viridiplantae; Streptophyta; Magnoliopsida; Poales; Poaceae.